Triticum aestivum (bread wheat) is the source of this 1511-nucleotide long non-coding RNA. RefSeq lists it as uncharacterized. The transcript has 4 exons. The record is from RefSeq and is a predicted model, not a curated record. Lineage: Eukaryota; Viridiplantae; Streptophyta; Magnoliopsida; Poales; Poaceae.
AGAUGGAAGAAGGAGAUCCGUCCAAAGUGUGAGUUUUGUGACAUCGACAUGCAAGUUCUACAAUUUAUCCGUCCAGAUGGGAGAAGGAGAUCAGUCCAACGGACGCAUCUAAAAAGCAACAUAUGCAGAGCCAUUCGCCCGAGAUAUAAACAAGCUGGUGGCCGCACAUCUCUACAUGUAUUUUAUUUGGGAUAGCCAAAUCCUGGCGCGCCCAGCCGCUGCUCGUGAACCCCGCCUCUAUCAGCUCCACUUCACCAGAGCCGUCAGUCCACAGGAGUAGGGGUAGCGGAUCCCCUAUAGAGGCCAAAUCUCGGUGCGCCAAGCCGCUGCUCGUGAACCACGCCUCCAUCAGCUCCACUACACCGGAGCCGUCAGUCCGCAGGAGUAGGGGUAGCAGGGACGCAUUCAUGGCUUCAUUCAACAAGUGGAAUGUGGGCAAAUGUUGAUCAACAAGUCUGCGGUAUUAAGGUUAGCUGCUAGUACAUAUUAUGGAGUUGGGGACAUGAGGGAGCGAGUGAUACAUGGAUCGGUGGGUGUAGUCUUUGUAGGUUGAGUAGAUUCUUGUAGAAACAACUCUUGUACAACUCUUUUCAUCUCACUCAUAUUUCUAGUUUUUGCAUGGGGCAUCUUCUAGCAUAUGAUUGAAACCCAUUUCCCAUUGUAUUAUGCAUUUAAAAACUCAUAAGUAGUUAAGAGUUCAUUUGUGGUGGUUAGCAAUUCAAUAGCUAAAAAAAGGAUACAUCAGCUCAAAUAUGCUUGCCAUAAGUAUUUAAGAGUUUAUUUGCGGUGGUUAAAAAUGAAGGUACUUUGUUCCGAGGACAAGAACAACUAGAAGUUCAAAUGCUGAUGUGUUAAAAAAACUCCAGCUACUUUGUUUAAGCUUUUGAUGUCUUAAUUUCUGCACUUCUACAUAGAAUUUGGCGGCUCACUUUUGCUAAUUUUCUGUAGUUCUCAGGUUAGAAAACGGUCAGUUCCAUGUGUAUUUAACAGCGGGUCCAUGUAUAUUUAACAGCAAGUCCAUGUAGUACUACAUGAAAAGUACUGCUAGUGAGACUUCACUGCUCCAUUCCAACAAACGUGUAUACGCAAUCCUGGUUUGACAAAGUACUCUGCUACUGCUGGUUUCAGUUCCCUCACUGGAUUUGCAGGCUCACGACCAUCCUCUAACACCCCGUCAGUGCCACCGAUUUGAAGGAUCUCCAUGACUAGUAUCUUUGAGUUCUGAUGCUCCUAACAAUUGUUUGGAAUCUUAUCUUCAAUAUCUUGCUUAUAUGGAACAGUAGAAUGUCGCAAUAUAUACUUGUACAAUUUUUUAGUGCUGAUGACUAGUACUUGCCUUGGCAGUACAACGGCAUGCUUCGCUGCCGGUUGCGAGGAUGUGCAACAUAUGUUUAAGCAAGCAUUUAUGUUGUAUUACAAACAAAAAUCUUUCCUCUGUUCCAUAGAAGAUUGUGUGACUUUUUUAAAUACAUUUUAGAAAAGAAGUGUACAGACUGUAGCUUAGCAUUUGA